GUCCCCGUCGUCUAGUGGCCCAGGACGCUGCCUUCUCAAGGCAGAAACAUAGGUUCGAAUCCUGUCGGGGACGCCA
RNAcentral lists this transfer RNA (76 nucleotides) under Granulicella mallensis MP5ACTX8. Its description in RNAcentral is "tRNA-Glu (CTC) (tRNA-Glu-CTC-2-1)". It matches the Rfam family "tRNA". Rfam says of the family: Transfer RNA (tRNA) molecules are approximately 80 nucleotides in length. Their secondary structure includes four short double-helical elements and three loops (D, anti-codon, and T loops). Further hydrogen bonds mediate the characteristic L-shaped molecular structure. tRNAs have two regions of fundamental functional importance: the anti-codon, which is responsible for specific mRNA codon recognition, and the 3' end, to which the tRNAs corresponding amino acid is attached (by aminoacyl-tRNA synthetases). tRNAs cope with the degeneracy of the genetic code in two manners: having more than one tRNA (with a specific anti-codon) for a particular amino acid; and 'wobble' base-pairing, i.e. permitting non-standard base-pairing at the 3rd anti-codon position. Lineage: Bacteria; Pseudomonadati; Acidobacteriota; Terriglobia; Terriglobales; Acidobacteriaceae. The record is from RNAcentral.